GAUGAACGCUGGCGGCGUGCCUAAUACAUGCAAGUCGAGCGAACAGACGAGGAGCUUGCUCCUCUGACGUUAGCGGCGGACGGGUGAGUAACACGUGGAUAACCUACCUAUAAGACUGGGAUAACUUCGGGAAACCGGAGCUAAUACCGGAUAAUAUAUUGAACCGCAUGGUUCAAUAGUGAAAGACGGUUUUGCUGUCACUUAUAGAUGGAUCCGCGCCGCAUUAGCUAGUUGGGAAGGUAACGGCUUACCAAGGCAACGAUGCGUAGCCGACCCGAGAGGGUGGUCGGCCACACUGGCACUGAGACACGGUCCAGACUCCUGCGGGAGGCAGCAGUAGGGAAUCUUCCGCGAUGGGCGAGAGCCUGACGGAGCAACGCCGCGUGAGUGAUGAAGGUCUUCGGAUCGUAAAGCUCUGUUAUUAGGGAAGAACAAAUGUGUAAGUAACUGUGCACGUCUUGACGGUACCUGAUCAGAAAGCCACGGCUAACUACGUG
This 497-nucleotide ribosomal RNA is filed under the name uncultured bacterium. Its description in RNAcentral is "partial 16S ribosomal RNA". It matches the Rfam family "Bacterial small subunit ribosomal RNA", at positions 28 to 507 of the family's 1533-position model. The record is from RNAcentral.